This is a long non-coding RNA of Oncorhynchus nerka (sockeye salmon), 1581 nucleotides long. RefSeq lists it as uncharacterized. NCBI's taxonomy places the organism in Eukaryota, Metazoa, Chordata, Actinopteri, Salmoniformes, Salmonidae. The record is from RefSeq and is a predicted model, not a curated record. The transcript has 2 exons.
UGGCGUGCACCCGAGAGACCAGGGGACCCUAAAUUGGUGCCAGUCCAGCGAACUGUUUUCUUAUUGCAAGAAAUACAUUUGACUGUAAAGAUUUGGAUGGUGAUACCCCCGCAGCACCUGAUUUCGAGGCCAGCUCGCCCCCGCGUCCACAUGUAUCUUGCGCAUGUACGCGAACAGGACUCCAAGGUGCAUUGCACGGGCGCUGAGAUAUAAUAAGAACUCCCACCCCAUAUCCCUUGUAUUCUGAUCUAACGGUCUCAUCUGUUACUAUUUAAAUUAUGAUGUGUCUUGAAGGUCCUCUUAGGCCCAGCUUUUGUAUAUUAUAUUAAUAAUUAGCACUUUUCUUUCAAUACUUCCUACACAGUUGUUGGAAGGCGCCAUUUUACAUUCAGUUCAAAUGGGCACGUAUUCUCGCGAGUACUCGCUUGGAAAGUGUCACGAUUAAGGCAUGCAUGCUAGUAGCAGAAAGGAUGCUUGUCUUUGAGGUUCAAUACAAUUAUUAAAUUAUAGGACUAUUAUAUUUUAUUCUAUUCAAAGAAUCAGGAAGUUGUGGAAUGGCAAUGAAAUAUUUGAUAUGAAUCACAUCUAUCUUUGUUUUUUUCACUGUACAUUCUGAAACUUACCAAAUACCUUUCAAGGAUGGAAUACAACCCUGGUUCCUAAAGCACUGUUUGAAAUGGAAAAACAAAAAAAAGUUAUAAUUAAAAAACAAACACAGGCUACAAUAACAUUUUCUCAGUUGGCCUAUUGUUGGGCAAAAAAACAUCCAUAUAUUAAUUCCUAAUGUUUUAAUGUAAAAGUGAGUGUUAAAUUGACUGUUACGUUUAAGGAAACCUAAUUUUGACCCUUGCACCCUGUUUUCUAAGUAAAGGUUAAUUUUGUUCAGAAGUUAAUAUUCAAGGUCCGUCUGAAUGUAUACACUUUUGUGUGUGUAUGUGCCUUUAAACAGGAAUACAACUGCCCCAGUCUGCCUUAAAGAGCCAGGCAUGUGCUGGUGAGGCUCUCCCCACAACAGGCUGCCUCUCUGCUCUCUUAAGGUGGACCAGAAGAGAUGUGUUGUGUGUGUCUAGUACCUUGCAGUAACAAUGGACGGGAAAGAGUUAAUUCUCCUCUAGCCUCUUUGUGAUCUCAUGGAAGGCUGUCCAGUGGAUAUGAGGAUCACUCUCUUCCCCAGAACACUUCUUAUACACCGCAUCUCAUCUAAUAAUAGGGUACACACACAAUACCCCUCAUACAAAGGUAAAUAAUAUGAGGUGUGUAUGAUGAGAGGUGGGACUGAUCCCAAGCUGUACAAUACAUGACAACCUGUUAUGACUUGUUGACAGCAUACACAACACAUGGCACUAUGUUACAAUUGUGGAAUGAAUGAGAGGCCCUCACAUAGACUAUUGCUGCUUUAAGUGCUUUAUUCUUGCACCCAAAUACACUACGUUUCGACUUCACAGAAGACUUUGUCCGGUGUAUAUUACGAUUGACCUAAACCUAUUUACAUAUUAUAGUAAUCCUCAUCACUUACUGUAUCAUGUUAGCUACAUGAAUGUGUUUUGUGUAUGUCACUGUAUAAAAAUGUAUCUUAAGUUC